AACGAACGCUGGCGGCAGGCCUAACACAUGCAAGUCGAGCGCGCCCUUCGGGGUGAGCGGCGGACGGGUGAGUAACGCGUGGGAACGUGCCCUUUUCUACGGAAUAGCCUCGGGAAACUGAGAGUAAUACCGUAUACGCCCUUUGGGGGAAAGAUUUAUCGGAAAAGGAUCGGCCCGCGUUGGAUUAGGUAGUUGGUGGGGUAAUGGCCUACCAAGCCGACGAUCCAUAGCUGGUUUGAGAGGAUGAUCAGCCACACUGGGACUGAGACACGGCCCAGACUCCUACGGGAAGCAGCAGUGGGGAAUCUUAGACAAUGGGGGCAACGCUGAUCGAGCCAUGCCGCGUGAGUGAUGAAGGCAUUAGGGUUGUAAAGCGCUUUCAGCUGGGAAGAUAAUGACGGUACCAGCAGAAGAAGCCCCGGCUAACUCCGUG
This 433-nucleotide ribosomal RNA is filed under the name uncultured bacterium. RNAcentral's name for it is "partial 16S ribosomal RNA". It matches the Rfam family "Bacterial small subunit ribosomal RNA", at positions 29 to 507 of the family's 1533-position model. The record is from RNAcentral.